UCUACGGGUGGCAGCAGUGAGGAAUAUUGGUCAAUGGCCGGAAGGCUGAACCAGCCAAGCCGCGUGAAGGACGAAGGUGCCAAGCAUUGUAAACUUCUUUUAUCAAGGGACAAAAUCAGGCUCGAGAGCCUGACCGAGGGUACUUGAAGAAAAAGCAUCGGCUAACUCCGUGCCAGCAGCCGCGGUAAUACGGAGGAUUCGAGCGUUAUCCGGAUUUAUUGGGUUUAAAGGGUGCGUAGGCGGACUGUUAAGUCAGUGGUGAAAGCCCGGGGCUCAACCCCGGCCGGGCGGUUGAACUUGGCUGUCUUGAGAGGUGGAGAGGUAGGCGGAAUGCGCAGUGUAGCGGUGAAAUGCUUAGAUAUUGCGCAGAACUCCGAUUGCGAAGGCAGCAUACUGGAGGCGAUCUGACGCUGAGGCACGAAAGCGUGGGUAUCGAACAGGAUUAGAUACCCGAGUAGUC
Molecule: ribosomal RNA, 460 nt
Filed under: uncultured bacterium
Lineage: Bacteria
Description: partial 16S ribosomal RNA
Rfam family: Bacterial small subunit ribosomal RNA
Source: RNAcentral